AGCUCCAAUAGCGUAUACUAAAGUUGUUGCAGUUAAAAAGCUCGUAGUUGGAUUUCUGCGCGGGUGGGGCGACCGCGCGUCUAAAGGCGUGUCGAGUCAGCAACGUCCGCGCAUCCUGCCGCGAACCACGCUACCAUUCAUUUGGUGGCGUCUGGGGAUCGGCUCGUUUACUUUGAGAAAAACAGAUUGUUCAAAGAAGGCAAAUGCCUUGAAUGAUGUAGCAUGGAAUAAUGAUAAAGGACUUUGGUUCUAUUUUGUUGGUGUUCGGGACCGAAGUAAUG
Molecule: ribosomal RNA, 281 nt
Filed under: uncultured eukaryote
Lineage: Eukaryota
Description: partial small subunit ribosomal RNA
Rfam family: Eukaryotic small subunit ribosomal RNA
Source: RNAcentral